This 115-nucleotide ribosomal RNA is filed under the name uncultured bacterium. RNAcentral describes it as "partial 16S ribosomal RNA". It matches the Rfam family "Bacterial small subunit ribosomal RNA", at positions 1385 to 1500 of the family's 1533-position model. The record is from RNAcentral.
ACACACCGCCCGUCACACCAUGAGAGUUGGAAAUACCCGAAGCCUGUGGGCUAACUUAAAGAGGCAGCAGUCGAAGGUAGAGCCAAUGAUUGGGGUGAAGUCGUAACAAGGUACC